Long non-coding RNA from Dama dama (fallow deer), 7757 nucleotides. RefSeq lists it as uncharacterized. Lineage: Eukaryota; Metazoa; Chordata; Mammalia; Artiodactyla; Cervidae. The record is from RefSeq and is a predicted model, not a curated record. The transcript is spliced from 3 exons.
AAAUUGUGGAGUUUGAAAUUCUACUGUGUUGACAAGUAGAAAAUUGAGAAAAGAUGUGGAGCCUUUUUUUUGUCAUUGGUAUAGAUGACAAAGAGACUCCAAAGUACAUCCUGUUGGUAGGGGUUAACUUGCAAAGUUCAGCACAUAAAUCUCAAUAAAUCUAAAGUUUCUAGCUAAGAAGACCACUGUAAUCUACUGUGCAAUUCUCCACACUGAGCUAUCUGAAGGACAGCUGCUUUCCACCCAAGAGACCAAGUAUCGAUGUAAUUUGGGACCUGACCUCUGAUUCAGAGGCAAAUGCUUAAAUGUCUUAAAUUUUUUUGAAGCUGAUCGGAGGACUUCCUUCAAAUUCAUAGAAGCCCUGUACCAUAUGUGUGAGGGGUGGGGUAGGGGUAGAGCAGGUGAUAUGUAUCUAUGCUCACCAAAGAUACAAUUACAAAUCAGACAUUUCUUCGAGGAAAGCAUAUAAUAAAAUGACUGAUGUAUAGGCCAUCAUUAAAAAUUUCAAGUGAAUGAAGUCAGGAUUUUGCAAAAAGACUUUCCUACUUGAUUUUACUAGCAACUCAAGUGUUCAGUAGCAAAGGCUUUUUAAUGUAUAUUAUACCACAUCUUCAUGAUAGAAUAAUAAGCAAUCAUUAAAAGUCUAAAAAAGGAAGUUUAUAAGUCAUGCAUACUUUUGGACUUGUCUGUUUUCAUUAUGCAUUAUAUUGUAAAUAAUUACAUGUCAACACUUUAGACUCGGUUCCUUAAAAAAUGAGUUACGUGACUUAGGACAUGUUAUUUGGUCUCAGUGAGCCUUAUUUCAUCCCGAAAUGUUAGGGUAACAGUAUAUCUACCCACUUCUCAGGAUUAUUGUAAUCAUGAAAGGAGAUUAAAUGUCAGAAAGUCCUAGCACAGAGCAUAGCAUGUAAAAAAAAUCUCAGUAAAUACUCUGUGGGUCAUGAUAGUAUGAGCUUUCAUUAAAGGAGUAUUAUUAGCAAAUUAUUUACUGUGUGCUGAUCCCAGUACCAUGAGGGAGACAAAACAGAUCUGAUAUUGUAAACUUAGUAGUAUGGGAGCCAUAUUUGAUCCAUUAGUGUGUUUCAUUUGGCCAGAAUGGUAAUGGUCCAAAAAGGUUGUUUUUUUUUUUCCAAUGUUCUUAAUUGAUUGCCUGCAUUGACAAUUAGAUUUCACUAAAAACAUUCAAAUUAUUAGUAUCUAGCAAAUAGCGGAGAAGACAAUGGCACCCCACUCCAGUACUCUUGCCUGGAAAAUCCCAUGGACGGAGGAGCCUGGUAGGCUGCAGUCCAUGGGGUCGCGAAGAGUCAGACACGACUGUGAGAAUUCACUUUCACUGUUCACUUUCACGCAUUGGAGAAGGAAAUGGCAACCCACUCCAGGGUUCUUGCCUGGAGAAUCCCACGGACCCAUGGACGGGGGAGCCUGGUGGGCUGCCGUCUAUGGGGUUGCACAGAGUCGGACACGACUAAAGUGACUUAGCAGCAGCAGCAAGACCCUGAUUCCCAUGUGGUAACACUAUCUGGUUGCUUUACCUACCUUCUCUGGCUUGCCACAGUCUCUACCACUCCCUAUAGGGCUGCCCCACUGUCAUUUAUCAGUACUGGUAGCCAUUUAUUACUGUUUCUUUCAGAGUAAAACUAAGAGCAAAGUGAAAUAUGUUUAUUGCUAUCAAGUGUGGAAUAAGGUAAGAUUGAUAAGGAUUCACUCUCAAGAAAAAUUCUUCUCACUCAGGUCUUUUUCACUCAAUAUGUGUUACCUACCUGACCCCAUAGGUGUUUGUAUGGAACCUGUAGCCUCUCAUAAAAUUCUAGAGCUAUAACAAACCAGCACUUUAGACCAGAUAAUCAUCUUUUCUUCAUUUUAUGCGUGAGUUAAGACCCCUCAGAGACAGUGACACGCCCAAGAUUUUAGUUAGAAACAAAUUUGAGGCUGAAUCACAUGUAGGGUGUUGUCUCUCUAUUUUUCAGACUUCUAAAAAUUUUAUUAUUUUUGUCUUAAUUUUUAAAUAAUGGAAAUUAGUGUCAAUUCUCUUCAGAGUAAACAAUCUCUCUAAUACGUCUUCCCUCUACAAAAUACAUAUGUAAUUCAUGACUUUUUAAAUGCAUAUUUUUAGCAUUUUUCCAAUAAUGUCAAGAAGCUUUUUAGUUCAAUAAGCUUUAGUUUUGUUGCAAUGCUCGUAGUGUUUUAAAAGACCAUUUGAAAAGUGCUGUACUUUGCAUUGAUGGUUUUCCUUUUUUUCAAGAAUGGAGAACCUGGAUAGAAUUUGUCCCUGAAGGCCAUGCAACCUUGAAACCUGCAUGUGGCGGUAGUUUGGGCGUUGUCGGUUGCAGAUGUGGUUGGCUCUUGACUACCUGUGAAACCAGAAGCCCCGUGAAUAAUAGAUUCAUGUAUGUGUCUGUAAUUACUUUCAACUAUUGAUUUCAAGCUUCUCCAAAACAUUACUGAAUACAAGUAACAAACAGCUGAAUUAAACCAUUUUACAAUACUUUUAUGUUCUUUUUCUUCCCCUCUCCAGUUUCUGGAAAGGGAACCAGCCCAAAGGAGUUGGAAAGCAGAUGACAUGGAUAAUUCACAAAUGACUCUAUCCUAAAUAAGUGAGAUAUAACUAGGAUGUAUAAAAACAAAAAGUUCUUUUGAGAUUUAUGGUGUGAUUGAGUUAAUUUAAAGAUAGGACAACAUAGCUAGUAAUUCAAUUAAGAAAACAGCACUUUAUAUUUUCCCUUUGGGAACAUUACCUUUUAUCAUUGGAUGUGAAACAGUUUUAUAUAGGAGAUUUUGGAUUAUAUUCAUUAUGAAACAAUCCUAAGCAUAAAUAGUUUUGGUUUCUAUUUCAAAGAUUCUUAGUAUUAUUUAGAUUAUAAGAAUAAUCUAUACUUAUUAUUAAAUAAGAAAAGUAUCUAAUGAUAAGAAAAACUACCCUUAACCCCAUCACACAGACUUAAAAUAUGAAUGUAUAUUUAGAAGCUUUUGUUCAGUGAGUUAAUACCACAGCUCAUGUCUUCAGAACUGUCCACAACUGGAGUUUUAGGUAUUAAAAAAAAAAAAAAAACUUCGAUGGAUUUUAGGAAUAGUCUAAUGCAAUACUAUGAUAAUUGUUGGAAGGGACAAGGGACACCCUGAAAAAAAAGUUCACAUCUAUGAAGGUUGAAGUCAUGGCCUAUCGAUCUUCAGUGACAAGACCAGCAGAGGGGAUGAAGGCAGAGGACCUUGGCUCACAGUAAGUGCUGUUCCUGAGAAAGAAGACAUGAAACAGAAGAGCUGUGUGGUCAGAGGCCUGGUGACCACGCAAUAAAGGCCACCUUCCAAGAGGACUGUGGGAUGAAACAGCAUUGUUACCAUGGACCCAGCCACUCUCCUAUGGAACCAUCAAAAACUGAGGCAAGGACAUACACAGAGAAGCCAUUUCUCCAUCAGUCAGAGAAGGAGACGGAGGUAGACUUUUAAGAAGUUCAAACGGCAUAGUCCCAAGGGCCGAGUGGGGAAGACCCAAUGGGAGAGCAGACCAGAGCAGAAAUAAGCAGUUUUGUUAUGCUAAUCACUCGAACUGAUGCUUUAAAUUCUGGUUCGGAAACCUCAUUGGGUAUCCAUCUUAUGAAGGGACUGUCCUUGGAAGAAAAUAUACCAAAUGAAUAAGACACAAUCCCCAGUAUCUGAGACUGAUACAGGAACAAUUAUGAUAAUGUGAUAAAUGCAAUAACGAUGUCAAACAAUAUAUGUUGGAAUUAACUCCAACAAAGAUGGGAAUCCAGGGUUAAAGAAUGCUUAUCAGAGAAGUCCUCAGGGCAAGAAAUUGAAAGAUAGAUGGAGCUCUGCCAGCUCAGAGAGACAGACAGAGGCAGUCCAGACAGAGAAAGCAGUUGAUGCAGCAUGCAGAGAAGACAGAUGUUUUUGCCAUGAUCAUCUGCAAGUUUGUCAGUCAAACAUUCUUCAAAAACACUGGCAUCUCCCCCGCAUUUUCCAUCCAAGGCUGUCAGUUCCUGUUGAGAAAGGUUAAUGGAGAUCUGGAGUCUCCAAGCCUCUGAUACAGAAGCAGCCCUUGCUGGCCUUUGAAUCUGCUGCCAGAAAGCAGAGCCUGCUUUGGAAUGUGGUGGAGAUAACCCACCACAGAAGAAAUCAUCAGUGGGCCAAAGAACUUGCUGCUAAUGUUGGCUUUUUGCCAUGGCCUCCAGACUGUGGAAGGAAGAAACUUUGUCUUUUUCCACCACUUCACUUGCUCUUUCCAGCUGGAGUUCACCCAGCCAAUUCAGACCCGAGGAAGGGAGCUGACCAAGCCAGCCCCUAUACUCACUUAGAAUAUAAAGUAAGCCACAAGGGUGGUUUUAAAUUUUCUAGUAGCCACACUAUUUUAUUUUAUUUAAAAAAUAAACAUGAAAUUAAUAACUUUAACAGCAUAUUUUUUGGACUUCCCUGGUGAUAACUGGAUGAGAACCUGCCUGCCAUUGCAGGGGACGUGGAUUCUAUCCCUGGUCCAGGAAGAUCCCACAUGCCACGGAGCAACGAAGUCUGUGUGCUACAACCACUGCACCCAUCCUUUAGAGCCCAUGAGCCACAAAUACUGAAGCCCCAACACCUAGAGCUGUGCUCCACAAUAAGAGAAGCCACUGCAAUGAGAUGCCCUAGUGCUGCAAGGAAGUGUAGUCCCUGCUCGCCGCAACAAGAGAAAGCCCAGGCAAAACAACAAAGAGCCAGAGCUGCCAAAAAUAAAAUAAAUUUUUCAAAAAUAGUAUAUUUUAAUCUAACAUAUCUAAAAUAUCAUUUCAAUGUUCAGUCAUUAGAAAAUUUAUUAAAAAGAUAUUUUACUUUUUUUAACUAACUCUUCAAAAUCUGUUAUUUUAUGCCCAGAGUAUAUUUCAAUUCAGACAUUAAGUUUCCAUUGGAAAAAGAUGUUCAGCUAUUUAGAUUUCAUUAAAUUAAUAACUGAAAAGAUAGAUUCACAAGUUGUUCUGAACAUAUUAAAAAAUGUUUUCAGAUAACUGAACCAAGUGUCAGUUUUUAAAAAUUAAUUGAAAUUAAAGUAUUCCAUUUCUUUGGUGCACUAGCCCACAUUUCAAGGGCUCAAUAGCAUGUGUAACUGAUGACUUCCAUACUGACAGCACAGAACUAUAGCCUUGCUACUGAAAGUGUGGCCUACCCACUAGCAUCAUCUGGGAUUUUCUUGGAAAUACAGAAUCCCGGGCCUCACCCCAGACUUACUGAAUCAGAAUCUACAGUUAGCAAGAUUUUCCAGUGAUUCAUAUGUAGAAUAUAGUUCAGGAAGCACUGAUCUACUUAAGACACCAGGAAAACUGGUAUUAUUGCAUCUAUUUUAUAGAGGUAUAUUGAGGCUCUUUUUAUACCCUUUAUACUGUUCAUGGGGUUCUCGCAGUAAGAAUACUGGAGUGGAAUGUUAUUCCCUCGUCCAGUGGACCACGUUUUGUCAGAGCUCUUCAUUACAACCCAUCCGUCUUGGGUGGCCCUGCGCAGCAUGGCUUAUUGCUUCAUUGAGUUAUGCAAGCCCCUUAGCCACAAAAAGGCAGUGAUCCAUGAAGGGCCAGGGAGGCCUGACAUGCUGCAGUCCAUGGGGUCGCAGAGAGUCAGACAUGACGUAGCAACUGAACAACAACAUCAUAUUGAGGCUCAGAGAGGUUGCAUAAUGUGUCUAAAGUCACAGAGCUCAUAAGUGUAGGAGCUAAAAUUCAGACUCAAAGCUUGCCCAUGUUUAAGCCCACACUCUUUCUAAUAUUUAUCACUCAAUGCAUGAAACAUGUUACUAAUGGCAUGAAAGGUCAUUUUAAAUGGUGCCCAGGAAGCAUUCUAAAAAGCACUGAAUACAAAGUGUGAAGGUUUGACCAUUUUCUGUCCUCUUUUAAGUUUUCUAAUAUGGUCAAAGAUAAAAUCUCUGAUUGAUGACAGUUUAUUUUCAAUACCUAACAUUUGCUGUAAGUGGGCCACAGCCUCAGAACUUUCAGUAAAGGAGGUCUUCAUAGCUUUGUUUCCUUCCGUUGUAUUUCUUCUUACUUCUACCAUCUAUUUAUGAUGAAUGAUGCUGGUUUUCUAUUUACAGCAGUGAUGCAUAGACACUUAAAUACACUUAAUUAAGUAGGAGAGUGGUCAUAAGUAUGAAUGUAGACUGGGCACAGCUCUGGCUGCCUGGGGAAGGAAACAUGAGGAUGACGAGGUGUGGGAAACACUGAAUGAAGGUGCUUCCCCAGGAGGCGUGGAGCAGCAGUUCCAGCCCUAGAGAAGGCUGGGAAGCACAAGAAUGUUGUGUGUUUUUGUUGUGGGUGCCUCAUCAAAGCACUUAACAAGAGUAAACUCUUCUUUGCGCCUGCGAUGGAUGUAAUUAUGUUCAGUUGGUUGGUUGAAAACCCAGCAUUUCCUACCUCCUAGCUGGAGGUCCUCCUCCUGACCUCCUCAACAAAACCUCCUCCUCUUGACCUCUUCAACCCAACAGCAAAGCUGUGGGCACCUCUAGUUGAAUGCUUUUGUUCCUGGAUUUGCAUAGAGUGGGUGCCAUAAAGAAGCAAAGGCAGUGGCUGCACUGAUGGUCCAUGGCGGCAGUGAUUUCCACGGCAGGACCCAGCAGAGGCAGCAGGGAUGUCUGGAUGGGGCUCUGACCUGAUUCAGGGGUUCAGACUCCCUUAGCAACAUCCCAUUUUCUAUGCAGAUUGCUCUCCUGGUUUCCUACUGUAUCGAUGGGCUAUGCAGCAUCAUUCCAAAACAGCCUCUUCCCUUUAUGGUAACCAGACUUGGUUUCUGUCUUUUACAAAUAAAAUCCCUAUUAGAAUGAGAUUAUUUGAUUGUCCAGAAACCCACUAGACAACCAAAUCCCUGAAGAGUAUAGUCUGUAUUUGCUUGUUCACAUGGCAUAAUUCCCCGGUUUCAAACAAAGUUGGUGCUUCCCUGGUGAAUCAGAUGGUAAAGAAUCUGCCCGCAAUGCAGGAGACCCAGGUUUGAUACCUGGGUUGGGAAGAUUCCCUGGAGUCAGGGAAUGCCUGGAGAAUCCCAGGGACUGAGGACCCUGGUGGGCUACAAUCCAUGGGGUCACAAAGAGUCAGACAAGACUGAGCGACUAAGCACACAAUAAUUAUUUGAUGAACGAAUGAGUGUUAAACAUAUAGGAGAUGCCAAUAACCAAUGUUGGAAAGUCAUGCUUUUACUUUCUCAAAACAUAUUAAGUGCAUCCUAUGACUUAAGAAAACCUAUCUAUGAAAAUUAAACUUCAAAGAUAAAUUAAUAUCUAAAUUGAAAGAACUCUUUAUUUAUAAAAUGAUUCACCCAAGAUUGCUUCUCUGAUUUUUUAAGUGUUGUUUUGUUUUCUAACUAUAAACUAUUAGAGGAGCUUAGCACAUAAAGGAAAAGUUUAAUUUUUGUGCAGUGAAUAUGCAAUGAUUUCAAAAUUAAAGGAAAUAAACUAUUGAAAAAUAACACUUUUAGAAUGGAUGGCAACCUGCGUGGCUCUACCUUGAAGAUCACAUGUGUCUGAAAUAGGAACCUCACUCACAGAAUUUUCAGAGAAGAGUAUGUGGCAUGGUAAAUUGCAAAGCUGUGCAUGCAGUUUACCAACAUCAUUAAGCUUCACCACAACCAAGGAGUUACCUAAUUUGUGGCCUUGUUCCAGAUGAAGAAACUGAGAUGCAGCAAAGAAACUAAUUUGCCUAACAAGCUCAAAGAGCUAAUGAAAAUCACACAGCUAAGGAGCUAGGAUUUAAACUUCAGCCUCACUCCAAGCUUAAAGUUUUAAGCACCAUGCUCUCCUUGUCCCCUAAGAGAUUUGU